Molecule: long non-coding RNA, 1547 nt
Organism: Papaver somniferum (opium poppy)
Lineage: Eukaryota; Viridiplantae; Streptophyta; Magnoliopsida; Ranunculales; Papaveraceae
Exons: 3
Source: RefSeq, a predicted model, not a curated record
AGUUAGGUCUCCAAGUUCGUUAACAACGUGGUGGUGGGUGGUAUUAGCGCUUUUGUAUGGCUGCACUGUGGGUGCUUUGAUUGCGUCCAGCUAAUACUGGGUAUCAUGCAAGCACUACGCAUAAUCGCAUUACAGGUGGUGAUCGGCGGCGGUGGGGCUGGUGGUGGUCUACGACGGCGGAGCUGGUAAUCCGUGGCGGAGGUGGUAAUCUUAAUUUUACUCUUGAGUGAGAAUGUUAUCAGCUUGGGAUAGAAAUAUAUACACCAUCACAAUAGAUUUUAGAAAACAUUUUGAGCCCAGAAAGUGUAGGAAAAGGAAAAUUAAAACGCUCAAUAGGAAAUUUAUGAUGAAACCAAUUUCAAUUUCAUCUAAAUUUGGUGAAACCGAUUUCGGUUUCAUCUAACUUUUCCUUAAUUUUUUUGAAAUUUUUAGGUGAAACCAAUGUUGUUGGUGAUAAAUAGUAUUCUAUUGAAACAAGCAUUUAUUUCAUCUACGUUUGAUCAAUAUUUUUUGAGGUUUUAUUGACGAAACUAAACUUUUCUAAGUGAUUUUUUUUGUUGAAACAGUUUUGGUUUCAUCUGAUUUGCUUUUUAUUUUCUAUGAAACCAGUUUUGGUUUCAUCAAUAUUUCAUUAAUGAUAUAGAGAUAGAUUGUUUUCUGAUGAAACCAAACAGUUUUUUGAUGAAACUAGUUUUGGUUUCAUCAAAAUUUUAGUUACGCAGGUGAUGGUAUUGGCAGUUGUGGUGCUACUAGGGGUGGUAAUGGCGGUGAUGUUGUUAACAUCGGUGGAGGUUGGCGUUGGUGGUGGCUAGUGGUGGUUGGAUUUGUUCGAAGCGGAGACGGUGGUGGUUUUAUGAAUAUUUGGUGGUGGUGGUGGGUGGUGGAUGACGUUACCAUAAGUUGUUGGUUGGUGGUGGAGGUGGUAUGUGAGCUGGUCGACGGCAUUGGCGGUGGUCUGCGAUAAUGGUGGUCGGCAUCGGUGAUGGUAGAGUCAAUUCCUAACUUAAGCAUAAGUAUGAGAAGAAGGUGUGGGAGGAGGAAGCAGAGAAAAAAUGUGGGGUUACCUUAAUGCUUUGGAAUUGCCUUACAAAAAAGAAGAAGAUUAUAGAGUCAAUUCCCACCUUCUGGUCAACUGCGUUUCUGGGUUUACCUUCGCUUCAAAAACUCUCGACUGAAGAAGACAAAAAGGUUUGACUCUGAUAUGUGAACUGAAAUCUAUAACUUUAUAUGCUUAUGUUUCAUGAUAUUCCCUUUGAUACAUGUGAUCAUUUCCCUUGAUUUAUAUAUGUCGAGGGAUUAGUUGUUGAAACCUGACAUUCUAAUCUGUGAAUGUUUGACACUAACAUUAUGGUUUCAUCUUAUUUUUAUGAUGAAAGCAAAAUCGGUUUCAUCGUAUUAAUGAUGAAAUCGAAAUCGGUUUCAUCUAAUUUUUGGUUGGUGGUGCUGGUUUUGGUCGGUAGUGGUCAACGGCGUUGGUGAUCGGCGGUGGUCGAUAGUGGUAGUGUUAGCUGGUGGCGUGUGGAUGUCGCGGUGGAGGUGGUGGCGGA